GGCUCAACCCGGGGGGCUGCCGUAGAUACUGUAUAGCUGGGAUACGGAUGCCGUGGGAGGAAUGUGUGGUGUAGCGGUGAAAUGCAUAGAUAUCACACAGAACACCGAUUGCGAAGGCAUCUCACGAAGCCGUAAUCGACGCUGAGGCACGAAAGUGUGGGGAUCGAACAGGAUUAGAUACCCUGGUAGUCCACACUGUAAACGAUGAUGACUAGCCGUCGGGCAGUAAUGCCCGGUGGCCAAGGGAAACCGAUAAGUCAUCCACCUGGGGAGUACGGCCGCAAGGCUGAAACUCAAAGGAAUUGACGGGGGCCCGCACAAGCGGAGGAACAUGUGGUUUAAUUCGAUGAUACGCGAGGAACCUUACCCGGGCUCGAACGGCAGCUGGAUAUGGCAGAGAUGCCAUAGUCUACGGACAGCUGUCGAGGUGCUGCAUGGUUGUCGUCAGCUCGUGCCGUGAGGUGUCGGCUUAAGUGCCAUAACGAGCGCAACCCUUGCCUUCAGUUGCCAGCGGGUAAAGCCGGGGACUCUGGAGGGACUGCCACCGCAAGGUGAGAGGAAGGGGGGGAUGACGUCAAAUCAGCACGGCCCUUACGUCCGGGGCGACACACGUGUUACAAUGGUGGGAGACAGAGGGGACCGACAUGGUGACAUGAAGGGAAUCCCGAAAGCCCAUCUCAGUUCGGACUGGAGUCUGCAACUCGACUCCACGAAGCUGGAUUCGCUNNNNNNNNNNNNUCAGCCAUGGCGCGGUGAAUACGUUCCCGGGCCUUGUACACACCGCCCGUCAAGCCAUGGGAGUCGGGAGUGCCUGUUGUAAGGGACCGGAAGGAGCGGCCUAGGGCAAGACCG
This 852-nucleotide ribosomal RNA is filed under the name uncultured bacterium. RNAcentral's name for it is "bacterial SSU rRNA". It matches the Rfam family "Bacterial small subunit ribosomal RNA", at positions 606 to 1470 of the family's 1533-position model. The record is from RNAcentral.